AAUGAACGCUGGCGGCAUGCCUAACACAUGCAAGUCGAACGAGACCUUCGGGUCUAGUGGCGCACGGGUGCGUAACGCAUGGGAACCUGCCCUUAGGUUCGGAAUAACUCUCCGAAAGGGGUGCUAAUAGCGGAUAAUGUCUUCGGACCAAAGAUUUAUCGCCUUAGGAUGGGCCCGCGUUGGAUUAGCUAGUUGGUAGGGUAAAAGCCUACCAAGGCGACGAUCCAUAGCUGGUCUGAGAGGAUGAUCAGCCACACUGGGACUGAGACACGGCCCAGACUCCUACGGGAGGCAGCAGUGGGGAAUAUUGGACAAUGGGCGAAAGCCUGAUCCAGCAAUGCCGCGUGAGUGAUGAAGGCCUUAGGGUUGUAAAGCUCUAUUACCCGGGAUGAUAAUGACAGUACCGGAAGAAUAAGCUCCGGCUAACUCCGUG
RNAcentral lists this ribosomal RNA (433 nucleotides) under uncultured bacterium. Its description in RNAcentral is "partial 16S ribosomal RNA". It matches the Rfam family "Bacterial small subunit ribosomal RNA", at positions 29 to 507 of the family's 1533-position model. The record is from RNAcentral.